RNAcentral lists this ribosomal RNA (727 nucleotides) under Streptomyces sp. RNAcentral's name for it is "bacterial SSU rRNA". It matches the Rfam family "Bacterial small subunit ribosomal RNA", at positions 137 to 876 of the family's 1533-position model. Lineage: Bacteria; Bacillati; Actinomycetota; Actinomycetes; Kitasatosporales; Streptomycetaceae. The record is from RNAcentral.
UCUGGGACAAGCCCUGGAAACGGGGUCUAAUACCGGAUAACACUCCUGCCUGCAUGGGCGGGGGUUAAAAGCUCCGGCGGUGAAGGAUGAGCCCGCGGCCUAUCAGCUUGUUGGUGGGGUAAUGGCCCACCAAGGCGACGACGGGUAGCCGGCCUGAGAGGGCGACCGGCCACACUGGGACUGAGACACGGCCCAGACUCCUACGGGAGGCAGCAGUGGGGAAUAUUGCACAAUGGGCGAAAGCCUGAUGCAGCGACGCCGCGUGAGGGAUGACGGCCUUCGGGUUGUAAACCUCUUUCAGCAGGGAAGAAGCGAAAGUGACGGUACCUGCAGAAGAAGCGCCGGCUAACUACGUGCCAGCAGCCGCGGUAAUACGUAGGGCGCAAGCGUUGUCCGGAAUUAUUGGGCGUAAAGAGCUCGUAGGCGGCUUGUCACGUCGGAUGUGAAAGCCCGAGGCUUAACCUCGGGUCUGCAUUCGAUACGGGCUAGCUAGAGUGUGGUAGGGGAGAUCGGAAUUCCUGGUGUAGCGGUGAAAUGCGCAGAUAUCAGGAGGAACACCGGUGGCGAAGGCGGAUCUCUGGGCCAUUACUGACGCUGAGGAGCGAAAGCGUGGGGAGCGAACAGGAUUAGAUACCCUGGUAGUCCACGCCGUAAACGUUGGGAACUAGGUGUUGGCGACAUUCCACGUCGUCGGUGCCGCAGCUAACGCAUUAAGUUCCCCGCCUGG